AGUAUGGACUUCACUAACAGGGAACAUUCAAGGCAUACAUCUAUUAACAAAUUGGAAUAUGAGAAUGAAAGGCUCCAAAAUGAUCUUGCAAAAUACAUGUCAAUGGAAAAUCAUCAUGGUCUAAUCAAAACACCUAUGAAGAAACAGGAAGAUAUGCCUAUCAAAACCAAAUAAAAGUGGAAAAAAAUGAAGAUAGACUUAGCCAAGAUUGCGAGCCAAAUAGCAGUGCAACUCCUCCAUUGUCACCUUUGAUAUUUCAAACCAAAGAAAUGGCAAGUCCUCUAUUGCUGCUGAUGAAGUAUUUCCUCUGUCUCCCCCAGAUAUGUCCUUCCCAGCUUCGAUGGCUGCACAACAUUUCCUUCUGAAAGAAGAGAAGCGAGCAAAAGAACUUGAAAGACUUCUAAAUACACAUAUUGAUGAACUGCAAAGACAUACAGAAUUUACUCUUAAUAAAUACACCAAACUAAAACAAAAUAGACAUAUAUGAGCUUUUAACAUUUUUUGUUUGCUUCCCCCACCCAAAGAUAAAAAGCUCUGGCAAAAUAUUUACAAAGCUGAUUCAUGAAACUGAAAAAUUUUGUUCUCUUUUCUUGAGUAAUUUCUGUAAGGCAGCUAGAAAAUAGUAAGUAUUUUGUUUGAUAAAGCCGUUUGAAUUUCUGCAUUCACAUGCUAAGUUCUGCUGUAGAGUUAUUAUAAAAUAAACAUGACUAUUCCAAAAAAGACUUUUUUCUUCCAGUCCAAUGAAGAACAGUUUGAAUUAAAAAUGCAGGGUUUUUUUCCACUCAAAUCAUUUAGAAACCCAUUUCCUCUGCAGCAACUCAAGAUGAGGAUAAGGGAAGUGCUGUGCCCAGAAUACAAGGGAACCAAGUACAGCUCAGUUGUAUUAGGUGUGAAACUCAAGGACUUUUUUAAUGAAAAAAUUUAAAUAUUUUGAACUAUGUAACCAUACUAGGAGUUCAUUUAGGAAAAAGACAUAGGUUUACUUUUACAUGCACUUGCAAUGUCUGUUUUAAUUUCUGAAAGGUGUGGAAUGCACAAUGUACACACUUAAGAUACACGUGUCAGACAUUGAUGUUUCCGUGUUAGUGCUAAUCGCGUUAUGGAUGUGAACAAGUUAAAAUAAAUAUAAACCAUUACUGUUGCUAAUUCUCUUUUGUAAUCACCUCUGUUUUUAAUACAAUGAAAAAAUGCAAAGUUCAAUGGACUCAAAACAUAAAUGUUGUUUGUAUAGAACAGUAACAGGAUGGCAUAGUGAACAAUAAAA
Non-coding RNA from Castor canadensis (American beaver), 1264 nucleotides. The record is from RefSeq and is a predicted model, not a curated record. Lineage: Eukaryota; Metazoa; Chordata; Mammalia; Rodentia; Castoridae.